This is a non-coding RNA of Bombyx mori (domestic silkworm), 83 nucleotides long. NCBI's taxonomy places the organism in Eukaryota, Metazoa, Arthropoda, Insecta, Lepidoptera, Bombycidae. The record is from Rfam.
UUAACUUAAAUUAGUAUCGAGUUGGAACGUUUGCCUACGUUGCCGCUAGGGGCGCUGUUCCAAAUCCAUACAAAUUUGGGUUA